GCGCCAGACUCCUACGGGAGGCAGCAGUGAGGAAUAUUGGUCAAUGGUCGGGAGACUGAACCAGCCAAGCCGCGUGAGGGAGGAAGGUACAGAGUAUCGUAAACCUCUUUUGUCAGGGAACAAAGACUGGGACGCGUCCCCGGAUGAGUGUACCUGAAGAAAAAGCAUCGGCUAACUCCGUGCCAGCAGCCGCGGUAAUACGGAGGAUGCGAGCGUUAUCCGGAUUUAUUGGGUUUAAAGGGUGCGUAGGCGGUCCGUUAAGUCAGCGGUAAAAUUGCGGGCCCCAACCCCGUCGAGCCGUUGAAACUGGCAGACUUGAGUUGGCGAGAAGUACGCGGAAUGCGCGGUGUAGCGGUGAAAUGCAUAGAUAUCACGCAGAACCCCGAUUGCGAAGGCAGCAUACCGGUGCACAACUGACGCUCAGGCACGAAAGCGUGGGUAUCGAACAGGAUUAGAUACCCUAGUA
This 466-nucleotide ribosomal RNA is filed under the name uncultured bacterium. RNAcentral's name for it is "bacterial SSU rRNA". It matches the Rfam family "Bacterial small subunit ribosomal RNA", at positions 328 to 792 of the family's 1533-position model. The record is from RNAcentral.